Molecule: long non-coding RNA, 13928 nt
Organism: Symphalangus syndactylus (siamang)
Lineage: Eukaryota; Metazoa; Chordata; Mammalia; Primates; Hylobatidae
Source: RefSeq, a predicted model, not a curated record
CACACGAAAUCUGAGGCAUUCAGGGGUCCCUCUGUAAGGUCAUUAACCAAACCAAAGUUUAUUGAUUUAUUUUUCUGUAACAGUGUCUGACAGGUUAUGGUCAGAGACUUUCCAUGUGGAAUGGAGACAAUCAGGUAGAAAAGAUUUGCUUCUCAUUUCUAGUACUGAGUUUUCAGUCUAGACAAAGCAAAGACUGUUGGUAGUCAGUAAAAAGGACUUUCUCAUGCUGUGAAAUAUAGCAUUUUAGGAGAUGCAGCAUUACUCGUGCAACUGUGUUCAUCUGCUUUAUUAACAUGUGUUAUUUAUGAUGCUCAGGGUGCCAAUGCUUAUAAAUAGUUCUUGGAAACAAUUUUACUAAUGUCGUCCAAAGGUCUGAUGGGGUCCAAAAAAAAGAGGCCUCUGGGGGACUGCCUGUCACAGGGUAGGGGAGAGGGUAUAAAGAUGGGAGAGGUCUUGGCUUCAUAAUCACCCCCAGGUGCUUUGGGGCUACACUUCCAGAAGCUUGGGAUCAAUGGGAGAAAUAAAAUCUUUCCGUAAAUAAUGCAGUGUGUUUCUAUAAGGCUCACACACACAUAAGAAGGAAAAGGGACAGGAACUAUUGGUUGAAACAGGAAAGGAAAGUAAUUAUCUGUUGGUUUGGCAGUAAUUUAUCGAGAAUGGGAAAGCAAAUCAUUAGCAAUCAAGAAAGCUCUUAGGAUAGGGCAAGGCAGAGAGGUAAAGCUAUUAGACACAUUCAGAAAAAAUUUAUGUGCUUUCUCCAUCAGGAACCAGGAACCCCAUACAUUUUACUGUAUUUUUAAAAAAUUAUCGUUACUUAGAAACAGUAAAAUAUGAAGAAUGCCUUCUUAGUCAAGUAGCAUUUUUAUUUGAAGUGAACUGCAUUGCUAGCAGUUUAUUUUGUGCAGUUUUAUAGUGGUCAGGCACAUGGACUCAAAGCUGGACUGCUGGGUUCCAUUCAUAGCUAGGUAUUUUUUGGACAUUUUCCUUAACCUCUCUGCCUUCGUUUCAUCAUAUAUAAUUCAGGAUAAUAGCAGUACUGACCCCAUAAAGUUGUUGGGAAUUGUAAAUGAAUUAUUGUAUGAAAAGCUCUGGGAAUAUUACCUAGCACAUUACAAAUGCUAUAUUAGAGUUGGCUAUUAUUAUUUAUUCAUAUGUAAAAACAACACUAAAUUAUAAUAAUAGCUCAUGUUUAUUGAGUGCUUAUUGUGAGUCAUAUAUUUUCCCAAGCAUUUUAUAUGCAAGUCAGUCAUCAGAUCUUCAUGGCAAACUAUUAGAUAGAGUUAUUAUUAUUCCCAUUUUACGGAUAAGGAAAUUAGCAGCAAAACUCAGGCCAGGAACUCUUUAUUACUAUCCCUUCAUCUCUUUAAUAUGAAUUUCCUUUUCUAGUCUUUUCACAUAGUUCCCUUCUUCGUGUAGAGAAAUUAACAAAAUGAAUGUACUUUAAAAGAGGCUAAUCCAAGUAAAGAAGAAUUAAGACAAGCUAUGCCUGUUUAAUUCAGCUCAACAAUUCACACCUUCAUAAGCCAUGACACCAUUCUCACUGUAUUUCAUUUUAAUGCUAUUAUUUUGCUUGGUGACUGGUACAUAUAAAUAUUUUAUACAGACUCUUCUCUUUGUGCCAUUAGGAUGAUGAAAUGUAUACAUGCUAAUGGAAUCCUAAGGUUCUCUGCUUUUUCUUUUAGGGUCAAUUGUCAAUUAUCUACAGCACAAUUAUUGUAAGUUUAAGCAAUUCUUUCUUCCACAUUUCUCUAUCAGUAUCGUCUUUGUUGAGAUGAAGCAUUUUAGUGGCAAUAGACUUACUCAUAACAUAGCUAGAAUUGCAGUGUCUCAUUUUAUUGUGUCACUGUCAAGGAUGAUACUGGCAUAUUCUUAAGGUACUGCUUUGUUGACAAUGUAGUUGACACUAUUUAUUGUUAUUCUUAAUUAUUACUGAUAGUACAUCAAAAGUGGGAAAGGACAAUUGAAUAAACAUAUCCUUAUCAAUUUGACCUCUUCUAAGAAAUACAUGAUCCCCUUGACUUAACACAAUUCCUGGUCAAUAUAAGUGUCUGCCCCACUACACCCCCAUUACCUGCCUAAUCAGACCUGCCUACUGUAUCCUCUAUAGCAGUUUCUUCCUAAUUGUUGACUGUUCAAAUGGACAGUGUGUUGGGAGGAGGCAACAUGGAGCAAUGGAGAAAUUGUUGCUAGUUAUCUCCCACAGAAAGUCUAACUUCCUUCCUGUAUUAUCCUAUCCCAGUGAAAGCCAUUUACAUUCAACUAGGCACUUAAGCCAGGAUCUGAGAGUCAUCUUUUAACAGUGACAGUGAGAAAUGAUGCCUAGUAAAGGAAUCGGGGGAGAGUGGCUUGACUCGCUCCAUAAUCCUCAUCAUUAUACUCUUUCCAUGAUCGUUUUACUUUCCAUACCCUUAUUCAUAACAUUUCCUCAAUUCUAUGUAGAAUGCUAUUUUAACAUAUUUAAUACAGUGUAAUAUCCUUAUCUCUCCAAACUGCAGAGCUUCUAAAUUCCACUUACACUAAAACCUGAAGCUGCUGCAAUUCUUCCAACUUUUUCUCUUACUAUACCCAAAUCCCAUGAAAGGUAAUGAAAGGUGGAUCACUCGUUUCUAUAUACUACAGCUGUACCUCAUAUACACUUCUAUUAUCGCACUUUCCACACUUCAUGUAUGCAUGCAUGUGUGUAUGUAUAUAUGGAAGGUGUGUGUCUCCAUUUGACUGGAGCUCUCCAAGGGCCAGGUCUUAUUCAUAUCUAAAUUUGAAAUACUUAACACAAUUCCUAGUAUGCAGCAGGACAGGUGUGCUCAUUAAAUUAUUGCAGAAUAAACAGAUGAUGGAUAAAAGAAUGAUUAGACUAAGGGUUUCCUUGCAGUUCACAUAUGACCUUGGAAGAAUCAGGUAAGUUCUCACUGCUUAAGUUUAUUCUUUCAUUAAAAAUACAAAAUUUUAAAGACUUGUAGUAAUACAUGUUCUACAUCAAACUAGGAUAUACUUGUAAACCCUUCCGCAUGCUGUGAAGUACCAUGUCUGUGUGUGAGAAUUAAAAAUAGUGGAUCCAAUCAAAGAAGUAUAAGGAUAGAAAAACUAUCCUUGAAUAUGUUUUCAAGAUGUGUACUGUUUGAAACCAUGUCUCAGGUAACAAUCAACGAUUUUAAGAAAGAGCUUUAGAAAUCCAAUCACAAAGAAAAGAAUCUUUAUUUCUCCCUUUGGUAUAUGACAUUUAACAAAUUAAUUUAGAAUUCUUUAAAACCAAUGGAGCUAAGAGGAAAUUGAGAACACUUGAACUAAUCAGUCCCAACUUAAAUGUAGAAGGUCAUAUAUCUAAAAGGUUACAUUACUACAAUGGAAAAAUUCAAUUACUACGGACUCCUAAAGGGUUUUACUUAAAAUAGCACAGAACUGUAAUGCUGUCAAUUCCAAUGAAAAUAAUUGCAUUUCCCUAAAUACUGUGAAUAAUUUGGUAAAUACAUCUAUUCUCUUAAAGUGCAAAUUUCCAACAUCUGCAGAACUCAGGAGCCCAAAACAUAAAUAUUCAAAUAUUUCAGCAAGAGUUUUAAAUGUGUUAAUACCACCAAGUUUACUCAGCUAUUUCUAUACUUGGAUGUCUGAUUUUUGUCUGAAGUUUAGUAAAGAGGAGGGUAUCUUGCUUCAAACUCACACUGAAGAUCGUUAAUUUGAUUUUUUUUCUCCUUUUAACAAACAGUUCUUUUAGGAAUUUCUUAAAAAUUAAAUGUGACAAUCCAGGUCCAUAAAAUGUUAAAAUUUAAAAGAAAUUGAUCCUCUAAUCCCAUGGCACACAAAUCCAAAGCAAUUACUCAAAGAUAGCUAAUUCUGGGCCCUGGUGUUAAUAUUCAGAUCCUGUUGGUCAGAAUUGGGUACAUUUGAUAGGAACCAUCAUUAAUUCUGAUACGCUGAUUCAUGAAUCUGCAUAGGUAUGUAUAGAUUUCUAAUUCAAACUUUUACCUUUAUAGAUAAAGAUGUUGAGAUCCUGACAGCGAAAAUAAUUUCUGAAAGACCCUCUGGACUCUUAUGGCUGUGAUUCAAAAUCCAGGUCUCCUGACUUCCAGUGGAGUGCUCCUUUAUACCAUGAGACAUCCUGGAAGGUCACACACCUGGCCAUCAGUGUUCAGAGCACACCGUUAUGAGCCCAUGCUGAAUGCCUCUAGCCACAUGAGAUCACAUGGAUUAAUAGAUCUAUAAAACAGGAAACCUCAAUGCGAGCAACUCAGUCUAGUAGAGCAGAAUGAACAAAUUGGCACUCAAAUCAUGCAAGUGUUUAUACUUAUAAUUAUGAAAAUUGUUAACACAGCUUCCCUUGUUUAAUUCUCACCACAGGCCAGGUCUAAAUAAAAUCAGGCAGUCCCCCCAACACUCCUAUGAGAAAGCCUGGUGCAAUUCUUAUUUUAUAGAUAAGGGGGACUCCGAGCAAGCAAAUCUAGCAUAACUUGACAAAUAGUAGAUGACUGGGACAUGAGUUAAACUCAGUUCUCUUUGAUAUUUUCACUGUUCCCCUUGCCCUCUCCUUCCUGUUGUAUGGAAACAAGAUACUUCAAGACUUGGCAUUUUUGUAUGAACGUUGUAGAAUUCCAGCUGUUGAGGCUUUGCCUUCAUGCGUGAGGGUCAAGCAGUACUUUACUAUGAGAUAGACCAAGGGUGUCCAAUCUUUUGGCUUCCCUCGGCCACACUGGAAUAAGAAGAAUUGUGCUGGGCCACACAUAAAAUACACUAACAGUAAUGAUAGCUGAUGAGCUAUAAAAGAAUUGCAAAAAAAUCUCAUAAUGUUUUAAUAAAGUUUACACAUUUGUGUUGGGCCAAAGCCAAAACCAUCCUGGGCCACGUGUGGCCUGUGGGCCACGGGUUGGACAAACUUGAUAUAGACCUUCCUCAAGCAAAUUGUGCCACUACGUUCUGUCCCAUCGGGUAACAAAAUACCCUAGGAAAAUAGUAGCUUUUAUUCACAACACACAACCAGGCGCUGCCUUAAUACACAGUGCCUGUGAAUGUGACCGUUUAAAUUAAAAUGCAGUCACAACCCUGCUGACACCUUGGUUCCAGACUUCUAGCCUCCAGAACUGUGAGACAAUACAUUUCUGUGGUUUAAGCCACCCUGUUUGUGGUAGUUUGUUUCAGCAGUCCUAGUAAACUGAGAUUUUCUUUUUUUUUUUUUUUUUUUUUUUUUUUGGUAGAUACAAGGUUUCACCAUGUUGGCCAGGCUGGUCUCGAACGCCUGACCUCAAGUAGUGAUCCACCCACCUCAGCCUCCCAAAGUGCUGGGAUCACAGGCAUGAGCCACUGCACCCAGUCUCUUCAUGUCUUUAGGUCGGAUUCCUCAUCAUUUGAUUGUGAGAUGGUAAUAGUGCUGACAAGUGCUUUGAGUUUGAAGUUGUUCAACUUGACCCUGGUCUAUGUGUCUUACCUAUUUUGUUUCAUGUUGCAAGCACUGCUAGCUUUCCUAUUCAAUACCUAUCCUCCCUUCUUUUUUUCUAAUAGAAAGCUACUUUUGUUGGUAAUGACAGUGGCCCAUCUAUAAACUUCAACUUCCCAGACUCCCUUGCAACUAGAAAUGAUUUUAUGAUAUAGUUUUGGGCCAAUGAGGUGUAAACAGAGGUCUGCUAAGGAGCUCUGAGAAUUUCUGUUUGUCCAUUUACUCAUCAAUUCAUUCCUUUAUUUUAAUAUCAGUGUCACUCCUUCUUUCUUCAUUAUUUCUUCUCCAUCCUAUCUGGAACAUGAACAUGAGAUUAGAGUUGCAGCAACCAUGUUGAGACUAUGGAUGAUAAAUGUGAUAAAAGCCAUAUGCUAAGCACAGUGUGAAGUCAAGAUAUAACUCGGUCAGGACUUCAGCCUUUUUAUUGAGAGGACAAAUAUACAUAUAGUUAAGCAACUAAAGUAAGAUUUUUGUGUUCCUAUAGCCGUAUUCAAUUCCAACUGGCAAAUGAUAGGAAAUCAGCUGUGGCCCCAGAGAAAAGAUCCACAGAUAGGAACUUUUCAGGCUCUUCUGAUGAAAAUGACUAGAUUUUUCAACUCAUCAGCCUACAGUGAAAGUCACCAAUAAACAGGGUCUGCUCAGUCAUACAGUAUGCAAUCAGCAUAUUAUUAUCUCACUCUGAAAUAUUCAUAGACAGCCAAGGAUGGAAAAGCGGAGAUCAAAACAAAUAAUAUAAGGAAUUCAGAGGCUACAGAUUCAGUGCAGGGAACAAACAAAAAUAAAUUUUAAAAAUAUAUUUGAUACCCUAGGGUAACAUUUUUAAAAGGGUCACAUAAAUGGAGCAAGUAGCCAUUGUAUAACAAAAGAGGAAAAUACAGUAAUAAACAACUCUCAUAAGUUAAAAUUGUUAGCAGAUAUAAAAAGGAGUUCAUUAAGGAAGAGCAAAAAUAAAUUUAAGAGAAUCUCACAUAAAGAAAUAUGUUUUAGAAGUGCCGCAAAGUCAGAGGUAAACAAUUAGAAAAUUACAAUAGCAAUUCAAAAGACUCAAUAUCUGACUAAUAGAAGUUACAGAAAGACAAAGCAGAAUCAAUAAAGGAGAAACACAUUUCAAGGAAAUAAAGCAAAAUAAUUCGCCAGAGUUGAAGCAUUAGGCCGUCACAUUCAAAGGGCCUGCCAAAGGCACAAAACAGUGAAAGAAAAGAAAUCCAUACUGAGGCACAUUUUUCUGAAUCUUACAGCACCUGGAUAAAGAUAAAAUGCUAAACAGCUUCCAGACAGAAAAAAUAAAAUAGGUUAGAUGAAAAGAAUGGCGUUCUGCUUUUAAACAAGAUAUAGGAAUAUGAAAAAGUAAAGCUUUAAAAAAUUGGAGGAAAACUGUUCUCCUAAAUUCCAAUAUAAAUUAUUGGUCAUGUGUGAUGAGAUUUUUUUUUAACUCAGAAUGAAAAUCUUUGUAAAAAAUUCCCUCUUUCUUUCUUGGGAAGUAAUGGAAGACACACUUCACUAAUGAGAGAGCAGCAAAUCAGAAGAGGAUGUAGAAUCUAACCCAAGAAAGAGGUAAAGAUAAUUCUUUGUUAACUUUUAUUUCAAGUUCAGGGGUACAUGUGCAGGUUUGUCAUAUAGGUAAACUCAUGUCACAGGAGUUUGUUGUACAGAUUUUUACUCAGGAAUUAAGCGUAGUGCCCAAUAGUUAUUUUUUCUGCUCCUCUCCCUCCUCCCACCCUCCACCCUCCAGUAGGCCCCAGUGUCUGUUGUUCCCCUCUUUGUGUCCAUGAGUUCUCAUCAUUUAGCAUCCAUUUAUAAGUGAGCACAUGUGGUAAUUGUUCCUGAAUUAGUAUGCUAAGGAUAAUGGCCUCCAGCUCCAUCCAUGUUCCCACAAAAGACAUUAUCUCCUUCUUCUUUAUGGCUGCAUAGUAUUCCAUGGUGUAUAUGUACAAGAGCAGAGACAUGGAAUCAACUUAAAUGCCCGUCAGUGACAGAUUGGCUAAAGAAAAUGUGGUACAUAUACACCAUGAAAUACUAUGCAGCAAAGAGAGUUCUAAGUGAGCCCGAGGAGGCCUAGAGAACAACUGCCAAUGGCAACAAGAAGAAGGUGUUAAGGAGGUAUGUCCCCAGGGGCAGAGGAGGGAUGGGGAAUUACAGUUUGAGAUUAAAAUUGAAAUUGGCAAAUUAUACAUAUAUAGAAAAUUUGGCAAAUGAAAACAAAACAAAUGCCAUUUUAACUCUAAGGAAAACCAGGUAGUAAAUGCAAUCAUUGUAUGCUAUCUAGAAGAGGUGGGAAUAAUAUUACAUGACUGUAAUAAUGCAAGCCCUUGAAUGUUGAGUGAAAACAUUGGGAGGUUGGUGAUAAGGGAGAACAUGUAUAGAGAUAAAGGGGUGUUGUUAGAGAGGAUAAUCGUCAUGUUCCAUAUGCGGAAGACAGGUAAUACCUGAAAUGGAAAAGUCAACGAUGAUGAGUAAAAACAGAUGUAUCAUGAAAGCUUAUAUUAGGUUGGUGGAAACGUAAUAUGGCUUGCCAUUGCUUUUAAUGGCAAAAACCACAAUUACUUAUUUUGCAUCAACAUAAUGGUAGAAGAAACAGUCAAAAGUUUCAAGGAAAUUGCAUCUAUGAAGCAGAAUUCAGAGUUAGGGUAGGGUGGCACAAGUUGCUGCUUUUCUGGUUUUCAUCUUGUGUAUUUUUCUGUUAUAGGUGAAGGGUCACAAGCUUUAAGGUACAAUUUCAUUUACUUUUUUAAAAGUUCAUGUAGUACUUUAAUUAAAGUCAAUAUUAAAUAAGAAUAUUUGGCCUUGGAUUUACUUUUUGAAAACUGAGUUUUGGUAUUGGCCUAUUGUUUCACCAUACAGAACUUUAAAGAUUAUAUAUAUAUACACAUAUAUAUACACACACACAUAUAUAUAUGCCCUACACAUCCAUAGUAGUAAAAACCUAGAAACAAGAGCUAAUAUUAAAUAUAUUAAUAUUAAUAAUUUAAUAUCAAUUAAAUUAUUCAUCAAAUAUUAAUUCAGCCAGCUUCUAGUCUAGGCACUGGGGAUACAGCAGUGGACACAGUAGAUGGACCUGCCUGUUGAUAACAAGUGUAUAUUUUGAGUGUGUUCGGAUAGAAUAUCCUUGGCUAAGUCGUGUACUAUAAUCUAUUUGAGCCCUGGAUUCUUCUUCUGUAAAAUGGGCAUACAAGUACCCACUCAUUAUUUCAAAAAUUAAUUAUGAGGACCUGUUCAGCUUAAAAUUUUUUCCAUGUUAAGAUACAUCUCACAAAGCAGCAUUUUACUAUUAAAAGAGUUCACUUUGCAAUCAUUCCUAGCACUAGCAAACUGAACCAUUAGGGAUGAGACUUUCAAUAUUACACUACUGCCACAUUCCUCUUUAUUAUGAAAGGCAGAUUGCCAAAAUCAGUUUCUAGUCACUCGGUUUGUCUAAAUAUUGCAGGGCUUUUUGAUGUUGCAUUAGCAGAAUAUACAGUCUACAUUGAUUCCAUUCUUUUGUCGGCCUAUGCAAAAAAACCAAAUGAAUCUAUUCAAAAUCAAGAUGCACUGAACUGCAUAUGAUGCAAAAGAAUGAUUUUGCUAAACACAGCAACUAUGUAAUGCACCCCAUUCCUUCUCCAUCAGCUUGGAUCCUGAGACUAUUUUGUAAAUCUGCAGAAAUAAGAGUUUUCUAUAUUUAUUGAAAGGUCAAAAGUUUGGGAGGUGGAGAGGUGUAAGGCAGAUAGGAAUACGGUAUCGUAUUUAUUAAACAAUAUGUCAGAAACAGACACAUAGCAGGCAAUUUGUAAAGUACAAUAGAAAACAAGCACCUGUUAUCUCUACCACUCUAAUUUGCACCAUCACUUCUAGUAACAGCAAAAGCCUCCAAAGUGGUUUUCAUGCUUCUACCUUUCCCAUUCCCCAAAGAAGACAUCCAUUAGAAUGAGCCACUGAAAAUAUAAACCAUAUCAUAACAGUUUUCUCUCCAAAAUUUCAUUAUUUUCCCCAAAAGGCCAAAUUUUCUUCAAUAACCUACAGAAAGUAUUUGUUAAAUGAAAGAAUCAACCCAUCUAGCAACCACCAGUGAGACUUGGGUCACUCGAUCCUUGCAAUGUGUUAAGCAUUACAAUUGAAAUAAAAAGCAAUUAGAACACUGGAAAACUUACUAUUCUACGAUAUCACUACAUAGUAGUACUGGGAUCUAGGACAUGUGUUGUGAAUAAGGACUGGAAGUUAAGAGAAGUUUAUGUGGGUCAUAGUAGUUUGGGUUUCUUGUGUAGCAGAGACUCAAGUGUGAGUUGGAGAUGUGAAUGCUCCAGUCAUUAUGUUGUUAUUUAAUUACAUACAAGAAAGAAAAGAACACACACACCUGUAUAUCUCAAGUCCAAAGCUAUCAAGUCCUUGAUUCUAUGAGAUACGCUUUAUCCUCUCUAUAAUAGUUUAAAUGAUCUAUUUUUAACAAAAAAAAAAAAAAAAGUUACUUUUUUUUUUUUUUUUUUUGAGAUGGAGUCUUGCUCUGUUUCCCAGGCAGGAGUGCAGUGGCAUGAUCUUGGCUCACCACAACAUCCACCUCCUGGGUUCAAGCGACUCUCCUUCCUCAGCCUCCCAAGUAGCUGGGACUACAGGCACGCACCACCACGCCCAGCUAAUUUUUAUAUUUUUUAGUAGCAAUGGGGUUUCACCAUGUUAGCCAGAUUGGCCUUGAACUCCUGAGCUCAGGUGAUCCACCCACCUCAGCCUCCCAGAGUGCUGGAAUUACAGGUGUGAGUCACCUCACCCAGCCAAAAAACAGCUACUUCUAUGGAUGCAGUAACACUGCACUGGAGCAGACAGAUACAUAGGUGACAUACAUGGACUGAAAUAAAAUCUGAUUGAUGUGUCAAGUUUAGAGCAGUGACAGGCUCACUGUGAAGAUGGUAGAGAAACUUGAACUCGAGUAAACUCUGUUAUCUGGAAUCCAAUAAAUUGCAAAGUGAUUAAGUGGUCUCUUUGCACAUAUAUGGUACAAACCUAACUGAUAUUCUAAGUAGUCUUUGAGACCCUGAAUUUACACAACUCAAGGAGAGAUUAAAUUGUGUGCAGCAUCAUGAGAAUGUUGGGUUUAUUUUAUUGCAUUCUAAUUAUUUGAAAAUUGAUAACCUGUGUACAUACGGCGACUUCCCAUUGAUCUGAAUAUUGGAUUAAGUGAAACACUCUGAAAUUGCCAACUGAACUGAUUGCACCUAAUGAGAUGGAGAUGUGGAAACAGCCAUGAGCUUUUCAUCACUGGCUGCAAACCUGCAAUUUUCUUGGUGAAGAAAGAAAACACAAAAUGCUAUUGGAGAGUGGUUUUCAUGCCUUGCACAAUCCCUUCAUCCAUAACCUUCAAUUCUAGAUGGCUGCAUACUGUUCACUUGGCUAACUUCUAGAAUAGAGUGGUGGAUUCUAGGCAACAGGAUGUGAUCAUUAAAAAGACAUAAAACAAUUCUAAAAAUGUGUUUUGAAAAAUAUCAGGUAAGUUCUCCUAAGUGAGACAUUCUCAGUUUAGGUAAAGCUUAGAAUUGUGCUUCUCAAAUUUCAGUUAGUCACGUAGCUACCUAUAAUUGCACUAGCAAAUCUACAUUUAAUUUAUAUGGUUUUUGUUAUUUUUCUUACGUUAAUUCAUUAACUUACACUUAAAUACAUUAUUGUUAAAGGAAAUAUUAUAUCACUACCAAACUAUAAGUAGGUAUCUUUUACCAUAAAGAGGUAACUACAAAUAUAAAUAAAAUAUUGUCUUCAAAUAUUAGUUCUGAGUUCAGGACUGUGAUCUCUUUGCCAAAAGAGAAAUAUACAAGUAUUUGUGAUGUGUUAAAGACCGGCACCAAAAGAUGUAUGAGUGUGUGUGUGUGUGUGUGUGUGUGUGUGUGUGUAAUGCUGUUAAAAUUUAGUUAAGCUUUUAAAUACAUUUUUAAAAUUGGUAUCUUUACUAUAAGGCUACUUGAAAUCUAUAAAAUGCUAAAAAGUAUUGUUAUUUUCUCAGAGAGGUUUAUGUUAUCCAGUGUUUCACAGUAUGUGUUGAGCAUGAAAUAUUUUUUAGGCAGAAAAUAUAAGAAGAUGCAUAUUUCUUUCAAUGUGUGCUGGCAAAUUGUGCCACUGCUUUUGUUGUUUUUCAAAUUCCUUCAUGCCUCUAUGAUACUCUUUCCUUCUGCUCAGUAAGUUAGCCACUCUUUCUUAAACAUGACACAAAGUUGUCAUCUCCAUUCUUGACUCACAGUAUUUCCUUCACUGCUGCCUCACCUUCAGCUGUUAAAAUACAUCUCUUUGCCACCCAAAUACUUGCACACAAAAUAGCCAAAAAGUGAGAACACCCAAAUCUCCAUCAACUGCUGAAUGGUUAAACAGGUGGCAAAUUCAUAGAAGGGAAUACUAUUUAGCAAUAAAAGACUGAAUUACUCACAUGUGCUACAACAUCAAUGGGUCACAAAUGCUAAGUAAAAAAGAAACAACAAAAACUAGACACAAAAGGCCCCAUUUUCUAUGAAUAUAUUUGUAUGAAGUAUCCAGAAAAGGAAAAUCUAUAAAGAUGGAAAGUAGAUUAGUAGUUACCUGAGGCUAUGGUGGGAGUGGAGGUUAACUGUAAAUGGGUAGGUGGGAUCUUAUUGGGAUGAAAGAACUGUCCUAAAAUUGGUUAGAUAUCAUGAUUGUAUAACUUGGUAUAUUUAUAAAAAUUGACUGAGUUUUAUGUUUAAAAUGGGUGAAUCUUCUGAAAUAUACAUUUUUCCUUCAUAAAAUUAUGUAAAACUUUCAGCCAGCUAGCUGGACAAUCAACCACCUAUCCAUUGAUCCAUUCUUUCAUCUUUUAACAUUUUCUCUCUCAUGCCAUAAUCUGAAGGUAACUUUUUCUUGUCUUGAGAAAACAUACCAUUAUGUUUUCAUAUAUCAUAGAUCUUUUCAUUUGCCUUUCUUGUAUGAUAUUCUAGUAUUUCUCUAAUAUCCUUACUUGACCGUAAGUUUUUACAGACAUAAACUACUCUGAACUAGUCCAUGUGAAAAUAAAUACUUAUUGAAUCUAUAUAUAUAUAUGAAGCAAAUUCUAUUUCAUGGGGAGGCGGGAGGGAGGAGGCAUAGCAUUAGGAGAUACACCUAAUGCUAGAUGACGAGUUAAUGGGUGCAGCACACCAACAUGGCACAUGGAUACAUAUGUAACAAGCCUGCACCUUGUGCACAUGUACCCUAAAACUGAAAGUAUAAUAAUAAUAAAAAAUAAUGAUAAAUAAAUAAAUCAUGCUACUAUAAAGACACACACACACAAAAAUAAAUAAAAAUAAAAACAAGUAAAAAUACCCAUUAGCACAUAGUAUUAAAUUGCCUGCUUUGAAAUCUGCAAUUUACUGUCCGGGCAUGGUGGCUCACACCUGUAAUCCCAGCACUUUGGGAGGACGAGGUGGGCAGAUCACGAGGUAAGGAGAUUGAGACCAUGCUGGCUAACAUGGUGAAACCCCGUCUCUACUAAAAAUACAAAAAAUUAGCCAAGUGUGGUGGCAGGCGCCUGUAGUCCCAGCUACUCAGGAGGCUGAGGCAGGAGAAUGGCGUGAACCCGGGAGGUGGAGCUUGCGGUGAACCCAGAUUGCACCACUGCACUCCAGCCUGGGUGACAGAAUGAGACUCUGUCUCAAAAAAAAAAAGAAAGAAAAAAGAAAAGGUAUCUGCAAUUUACCUUUUGUUAUCUAACUUUGAAAAGUGGUUUAAUACCUCAACACAUCAGUUAUUAAUUCAAAGAACGAUAAUAAUAGCAGCAACAAAAGGUAUAAGCAAAAGCAGCCACCUUUACUGAACACUUACUUUGAACUGGCCAAGCUGUUUGGUACUUCUCAUUUUGCAGAUGUCAUUCCAGAAAAAAGAAGCUGAGACACAAUGAAGUUAAAUCAACUGGCUUAGGUCAAAUGCCUUGGAUGUAGAGCCUGAGGCAGGAUUUGUAUACACAUGGCUUUUGAAGGGAGUGCUCUCAAGGCAUGGUAGGAAUGAGAUGUAGGAAGGUAAAAGGGGAAGGGAUAGGAGCUAAGAUUUUUCAAGGGAAGUUUUGCUCUAGUGUGAUCCAUGGAGAUCUCUGAGGAUAAAUAGGAAAGCAGAGUUUUUCCUGUCUUGAGACAAGAGAAUGGGACUUAAAUAUACCUGUUCCUGCUACUGUGCAUGUGGAUGCCCUUGUGUGUGUGUGUGUGUGUGUGUGUAUGUCCUUGGCUGUAGUUACCCAAAAGUAAUCCUGCAGAAAAUGUAACAGACGUGAGCACUUGGGGGUGCCCACUCCUGGGGGAUGAACACACCCAACAGGAAAAGGGAUUCCAAGAGACCUGAGCAGACCCCAACAGCCUCUGCUACAGCUGUUGGCCCGAAUCACAUAUAUAGUAAGGGGAAUAUCUGAGAUUCAAACUUCAAUAUUUCUGAUGCCUAUAUCAGUGCCUUUAAUGCCCUACCUUUUUCAGGCAGUGCCGCAUUUGAUACACAUACAUAAAUGCACAAAAUCCCCAUUAUGGCUUAGAUUGAUCCAUUAGCAAAUAUUUUUUAAAUUAAAUAUUAAUGCAAACAA